Molecule: long non-coding RNA, 809 nt
Organism: Armigeres subalbatus
Lineage: Eukaryota; Metazoa; Arthropoda; Insecta; Diptera; Culicidae
Exons: 3
Source: RefSeq, a predicted model, not a curated record
GUGUUCAAAAGAAAUUUCUUUUUCUAUCUCAAUCACAUGUUAAAUUCCGUUCACUGAAUCGGAAAAGUAAAGAAUCGAAACAAAAUUCUUACAGCAGUAUCCACAUGAAAAGAACAAAAAACAAAAUUGGCAUUUGUAAGGUUCCCACGCAAAGUAAUGGGAGCUGUCACUUUACUUUCGGAAAAUUAUUCUGCUCGAUUAUUCCGUAAGUAAAAGUGACAAUUUGCUCCAUGCAGAUCAGUUGUCAAAAUUCCUCUUGGUAAUAUUGAACAAAAUUCCGUAACCUCUCUACUUUUUAAGUCGAUACUGGCCUUAAUUAGUGAAGAGAUAAAAAUAAUGAAACUGUAUGGUGCAGAAAGUGUUUUUUUCAUUGCAGUUUCUGCUGCUGGGAAAGCGGCAGAUAACUAUGGCUUCUGUACCGUGAAAUGAAGCUUAUGAUAAAUAAAAUACUGCUGCUUGCUGGUCACUGAUUGAAGAUCGUUCAGUGGCUACCAUGGGCCAAUCUCACCAACGGGAUAUAAUAAGAACUGAUGCAGGUUUAUAUCUAUUCGGAACAAAGUUAGUACAAUUUUUAAACCGAUGUUGGAUUUUUCUCCAGAUACAGGCAACCCACUUAACUUUGGAAGUAGUGCGCUGGAUUCGUCUAAAGAUAUGCUAAACAACCGGAGGAAAAUAAAAUGAUAUGUAAAACAAUUAAUUGUAUUGUAUUUUUAUUGUAAUAUUGGAGUAUAAUGUAUUCUAAAUCCUGUUGUAUUCCUAUUGUAAAACAAUAGAAACAGUAAUUGAAAACAUUUAAAACACAAUGUUUU